CUCCAGCCUGGGUGAUAGAGUGAGACUCUGUCUCAAAAUGAAAUAAAGUCCUUAUAAGAAGUAUCCUCAUGUUUACUAAGAGGAUACAAAAUGAAAGUAUAAAAAUCUCCAUUGUUUUUAAACAUUUUAUCACAAAGGUCAUAAUAGGGUAAUCUCAAUUUCUUAGCCUGUGUGAGCCUCUGUUUAUUUCCUCUGAGACUUAAAUGAGACAAUAUGAUACUUUACCCUGGAAAAUCAUGAAUGAUAAAGAGCAAAGUGUGCUGAUUAGAGUAUUUUUCUCAACCUCUAUUGCCCUUUUGGGUUCUUUUCUCAAAGAAUUACACACACGGAGCUGCAUUCUUCUAUGAAGAGCUCAUAAAUAGAAUGAUUUCCCAACAAUAUUGAAUCACCAAAGGGUGAAAACCUGAUUCUAUUCUGAUCCCAGAAAAUAAGUAACGGUUGCUUUUCUGUUAGUGAAUGGAAAUAAAAUGGUUAAAAUGUAAUAAAACACCUCUGAUCCUUCUCAUUUUGUAAAAGCAAAAUGAGAAAGGAACACUUAGACUAUGCCAGAAAGAGAAUAGGAUGUGGGCUUAAAGAUGAAAGAAACCCUAGAAAAGAAAUUAUUAGAAUAAUGAGGAGGUCAAGAAAAGAUCCACAUGAACACACACGAACAAAAACAGAUGAACUUGUUUAAAUCACAGAACAAUGAGCAUGUAUUGCCCAGAAAAAUGGAGGUAACUAGAACUCAAACAAAUAUCAUAGAGCAUUUGAGGAAAAGACAGAAAACUUGUUAGGCACAGAUUGAAGGAAAGGACAUUCUAGGAAGGAGAAAUAACAGAAAUGCUAUAUAAAUUUAGCUAUAGUGCUGCAUUUAUAUAGCAUUUUACUGUUUCAAACCAUUUUCAUAUUAUCCCAUUUAUUCUCCAAAAGAGCCAUAAAAUAGAGAGUUUAUUUAUUCACUUGCCUCGUUAAAAUGGAUUCCAGAGGCUUAGUAUGGGAUGUCGAGUAUGACGAGACUAAUAAGAAAAGUGAGGCAAAAGAAAAAAUAAAACAAAAAUAGAUAUUAUGUGAAGUCAGAAAUGAAUAGUUAUUAAUGAUAUUAUUAACAUUACAUUAUUAAAUAUUCUUAGAUUAAUAUUAUUCUGAUGCUAAAUUAUUAUUAUUAGUGCUCUAUUACCCCCAACAAGGUCAAAUGAGUCCCAGGUCAACUAAAGAGUGGCAGAUUCUAGACUUAGAAUCAUUUAACUGGUGUUCUUUCUUUUAAAAUCAUCAGCAAUUACUAAGGGGGGGCAGUCCCUAAAAAUAACAGAUAAAAAAAGCAGCCUGCAAGCUCUCAAAGAAAUUUUGAGUUUUUUGCAGAUUUACUUCUGUAUGCAUUUUCUACAACCACUUGAAUAAUGGAUCAUCGCACAGUAGUUGCUCUAAAUCAAUGUAAGAUUGUCUUAGGAGAGAAUCUUGUGAAACCAGAAGGAUCUGCGGGUUACUUACCUCUCCUCUCAUUCUUUUGUAGAUUUCUCCCUAGACCAGAGGUUAUUUUGGGGCUUUCUCAUGAAUACAGAUAACUGUGCAGUACUCUCUAGGGUUUUGGUAGCUUUGCGAAGUAAUUAAAUAGUAAUGCUCCUGAGAUGCCGCUACUGGGCAGUGACUGGGGGAGUAAGAUCAGGGGUGAGGUUUGUGAUCUUGAGGAGGAUAAUAAUGCAUUCAAUGAUGAAACAUAAGGAGGCAGCCUGAGAGGCGGAUUAAAGGGAAGGGCUUCGAAUGAGAAUGCUACACACAAGCCCAAAUCUGCUACUUAGCAUAUGUUUGUGGGCAAGUUACUGUUCCUCUCUGCUAUUACCCUUUAUCCCAUGCAAAAUUGAGAUAAUAGCCAUUACUGCCUUGUGCAGUGGAUAUAAAAAUUAAAUGAGAUAAAGCAUGAAAACAUUUAGAAGAGGGCUUGAUACAUAGUGCUGGAAAAGAAAAAAAGCUCUAUUAUGAUUUCACAAGUGCUGGAAGUGACUUUCUGAUAAAAGGGCUUUAAUUGACUUCCUUUAUCUCUUCAACCUGCUGACUUAUGGUAACGGCAUACAGACUGUGCACAGGGAGGCCCUUGUGUCAGAGAGGCAUCUGCCCAUCACCCAGCCCUUCCCACUGACUAGCAAAGCAGGUGGGCUGCAUUUAACAAAGAAUACAGGAAGGAAGCAAAACCUCCCAAAGAAACCAAUUGACUAAAACUUCGCACUUAAAGACACCACUUUGAACACAUGUAAAAGCCAAACCCAAAACAGAUUUAGUUUGAAGGGUUGUGUAUAACCCAUAAAGAGGAGCAAAGCAAUCUUUUCAAUAGACUACUGGCCUGCCUAGUAUAUUUGCUUCCCAAAGAAGGAGAAGCUCACUCAAGAGCCUCAAGUCCUUCACUCAGCACCAUUUCUGCUAUUGGAGGGCCACAAGUAUACUGCUACAGCCAAAACCAGGAGAUUGACCUUCCAGAACAGACCUCAGAAUGUGCACAUCCAGGAGAUGGAAUAGAAGGGCACUGAUCGUGGAUCUUCCUAAUCCACCUCCCUUCCCUUCUCUCACCUAUGCAUCUUCCCAGGAAGUCAUCUCUGCACGAAAGAUAAAUUGAAAUGUAUUGUACAGUGUUCAUUAUUACUAUUUUAAGAGCUAUUUAAUUGCCACUUUAAGGUCUUUGACAUUCUCUUUUCCAGUCUUUCUGUUUUAUUUAUCUGAAUGUUUAAAUAUAUAUUAAGAACUUUCAAAAAUACACCUGCCCUCAGGUGAAUUCUCAGUUCCCUCAUAUUCCUCAACCAUGAAUUAUUCUACUACAAGAGCUUUGUGAAUUCUAAUGCUGAUGGCUG
This 2816-nucleotide long non-coding RNA is filed under the name Homo sapiens (human). RNAcentral's name for it is "long non-coding RNA NONHSAT218040". The record is from RNAcentral. Lineage: Eukaryota; Metazoa; Chordata; Mammalia; Primates; Hominidae.